This 455-nucleotide ribosomal RNA is filed under the name uncultured soil bacterium. Its description in RNAcentral is "bacterial SSU rRNA". It matches the Rfam family "Bacterial small subunit ribosomal RNA", at positions 26 to 470 of the family's 1533-position model. The record is from RNAcentral.
AGAUUGAACGCUGGCGGCAGGCCUAACACAUGCAAGUCGAGCGGCAGCACGGGUACUUGUACCUGGUGGCGAGCGGCGGACGGGUGAGUAAUGCCUAGGAAUCUGCCUGAUAGUGGGGGAUAACGUUCGGAAACGGACGCUAAUACCGCAUACGUCCUACGGGAGAAAGUGGGGGAUCUUCGGACCUCACGCUAUCAGAUGAGCCUAGGUCGGAUUAGCUAGUUGGUAGGGUAAAGGCCUACCAAGGCUACGAUCCGUAACUGGUCUGAGAGGAUGAUCAGUCACACUGGAACUGAGACACGGUCCAGACUCCGUACGGGAGCAGCAGGUGGGGAAUAGUUGGAACAAGUGGGGACAAAGCCUAGACUCCAGCCAUGCCGCGUGUGGACGAAGGAAGGUCGUUCGGAUUGUAAACGCUAACUUUAAGGUUGGAGGAAGGACUAAUUAAACCUUAA